AGAGUUUGAUCAUGGCUCAGGAUGAACGCUGGCGGCGUGCUUAACACAUGCAAGUCGAACGAUGACCCGGUGCUUGCACCGGUGAUUAGUGGCGAACGGGUGAGUAACACGUGAGUAACCUGCCCUUAACUCUGGGAUAAGCCUGGGAAACUGGGUCUAAUACCGGAUAUGACUCCUCAUCGCAUGGUGGGGGGUGGAAAGCUUUUUUGUGGUUUUGGAUGGACUCGCGGCCUAUCAGCUUGUUGGUGAGGUAAUGGCUCACCAAGGCGACGACGGGUAGCCGGCCUGAGAGGGUGACCGGCCACACUGGGACUGAGACACGGCCCAGACUCCUACGGGAGGCAGCAGUGGGGAAUAUUGCACAAUGGGCGCAAGCCUGAUGCAGCGACGCCGCGUGAGGGAUGACGGCCUUCGGGUUGUAAACCUCUUUCAGUAGGGAAGAAGCGUAAAGUGACGGUACCUGCAGAAGAAGCGCCGGCUAACUACGUGCCAGCAGCCGCGGUA
RNAcentral lists this ribosomal RNA (504 nucleotides) under uncultured Actinomycetes bacterium. RNAcentral describes it as "bacterial SSU rRNA". It matches the Rfam family "Bacterial small subunit ribosomal RNA", at positions 8 to 522 of the family's 1533-position model. Lineage: Bacteria; Bacillati; Actinomycetota; Actinomycetes. The record is from RNAcentral.